Molecule: ribosomal RNA, 274 nt
Filed under: uncultured bacterium
Lineage: Bacteria
Description: partial 16S ribosomal RNA
Rfam family: Bacterial small subunit ribosomal RNA
Source: RNAcentral
AUACGUAGGGUGCUAGCGUUAAUCGGAAUUACUGGGCGUAAAGCGUGCGCAGGUGGUUUUGUAAGUCAGAUGUGAAAUCCCCGGGCUUAACCUGGGAACUGCGUUUGAAACUGCAAGGCUAGAGUGUGGCAGAGGGGGGUGGAAUUCCGCGUGUAGCAGUGAAAUGCGUAGAGAUGUGGAGGAACACCAAUGGCGAAGGCAGCCCCCUGGGUCAACACUGACGCUCAGGCACGAAAGCAUGGGGAGCAAACAGGAUUAGAAACCCCAGUAGUCC